CAUAUUUCAUGUAUUCUAAGAUGCACUUUUUAAAUUCUUUUUAAAUUUAGUAAUUACUAGCACAUAUUAAUUUUUCAUGAUAAUGGGUUUUAUUAUGACAUUUCUAUACAUGCAGCCAUGUGCUUCUUCCCAAAUCCUGUUUUACCCUUUCCCUUGUCCUUUUCCCCUUUCCUAAUAGGCCCCCUUUCAACUUCCAUUUCUCCUUAUUUUUUGCUAUAUUCCACAAAUGAAAGAACUAAAUGCACACCCUUAUCUAACAUCUACCAUCACCGAAAUCAGAGGAUGCCCUAUGAUCAAUAACUUGCCAUGGUGAAGCAAUAUCACAGUUGCACUGCCUGCUUGCAUGUUCUUGGUUAUAAUUCCUGUUCAAAAUGGCAAGACAACUACUAUCAUUGAUGCUUGAGACAAUCAACAACAUAUGGACCUUUGGAGGAAGAAAUGUGAGUUUCUUCCACCCCAUGUCUACAAGACUGCUGUAAUCAGAUGUCCUGUUCUUUCCUGGACUGAGGAAGUCCUAGAUCAGUUGGAGAAAAUGCAGAGGAAGUGAAGAAUUUAAAUAUACAAGUGUUUAAGAAAUUGGAG
RNAcentral lists this long non-coding RNA (582 nucleotides) under Heterocephalus glaber (naked mole-rat). RNAcentral's name for it is "lncRNA (ENSHGLG00100036196.1)". Lineage: Eukaryota; Metazoa; Chordata; Mammalia; Rodentia; Bathyergidae. The record is from RNAcentral.